RNAcentral lists this long non-coding RNA (2830 nucleotides) under Sus scrofa (pig). RNAcentral describes it as "lncRNA (ENSSSCG00050018364.1)". Lineage: Eukaryota; Metazoa; Chordata; Mammalia; Artiodactyla; Suidae. The record is from RNAcentral.
UCCGCUGGCGGAGGCUCUGGCGGUGGCGGCGCGCGAGCGCGAGCGAUCCCGACCCCACAUUCCUGGGAGCGCGGAAUAUCUUGGGAUCUUCUCUGAUCUGCCAGCAGCCAAGGUGUUCACUGGAAAUUCAAGGAAAACAGGUCAUUUCUCUUGCCCUUUAACUGUGGGUUGGGGAGGGAGGUAGAAUGGGAUGUUGACACUUUCUAGAUGUCUCUCUGUCCUAGCUCUUGACUUUGAAUUGAUAAGCUCCUUAAAUUGGGCUUUGGGGGUCAGGAGAGCCUCCCCCGCUUCCCUCUGUUUCUGAAUGGUGGCCAGCAGUAUUCUUAAUUUCUUUCUUGACCUCCCUGAUUGUAGGGAGGAAGCCUAGGGAGGCAGGAGAGGCCUGUAACUUCCUGCUUCCCGUCUCCUCCCAGCAGGCUUGGGAGCCAGGGUGGAGGACCGCCCCACAGCCAGCCAGGAAAGAAUCUGUGGGAAUCGGGCCAAUCCCACCUGUGUCUGUUCCUCUGUAUUGGCUGCCACAGGAAAGCCCCUGGCCCUCUGGGUGGGCACCCUCUGCCAGAACCCUCAUCUCUGCUCCUGCAGAUUCCCGGGUCUUGCUGGCAGCUUCUUUGUUCCCAGAACCUGUGCUUAAGGCCCCUGUGGGGCUGGUGCUGGGCUGGAGCUACCAGUGUGGAGGAUGCUGAUUCAAAUUCUGGGGUGCUGCUUAUAGAUCUGGGUCUUUUUAUAUUUUAAUUGAUGUGUUUUAUCCUGUGGCUUAUUCCUGCUGGGUAAUUUGUAAAUCUCUUAACUUCCAAGAACCCAGCUGUGUGGUGCUGGGGGUGGUGUGGUAAGAAGGAUGGUGCCGCUGGCUGGUGGUAGCUUUUCUUGCCAAAAGGCUCCCAUCUCUCUGAGUCCCAGCAGAGAUGAUUGGGAGUUCCAGGCAUGGCCUUGGGCCUCUUAUUGGCCUUUUGUGCUUUGCACAUUAUACUCAGGGUGCCAGUAUUCAUAUCUGUCAUUGUCAUCAUUGGCCACAGUUUCAGACUCUUAACAUAUGUCCACAACUAAUUUAAUUAAAUUCGUAUUAAAUCUUAAUUUAAAUCUCACUUAACUUUCAUGAGAGUCCUGUGAGGUAGCUGUCAUUUCGCCCUGUUUCACAGUGGCAGCAGCUAAGGUGGAGACAAAGACUUGCCUAAGGACACAGCUUUAGUGCCAGGGGAGCAGCAGCUCAAGUUCAGGCGGUCUGACUCCUGCCGUACCUGCCCUUCCCACCAGACCUGUGGCCAUUGCCAUCUGGCCUGGGAACCUGCUCCAUGUCCCUCCUUGAGCCUGCUACAGCCAGGAUGUGGGGCUCCCAUUUUAAGUCUUCCCCCCUCCCACCGGGGCCUGGGGAGGGUGUCUGCUUUCAGUCUCGACACCUUGGGAUUUGGGGCACUGCCUACUGGAGGACUGGCCAUGCAGCCAAGCAGGAGGCCACGCCGAGGGAAACCAGUCUGCUAGAAAUCAGGUGGCAGGGAUGGAAGGACUUGAGGACAAGUGGGCGAGGGUUCUCGCACGCAGCAUGCCCUGGCUGCUCAUGGCACGUUCUGCCCUGUCACAGAGAUUCCAUGGGGCCUGCCCUGGGGGGACCUGCCAAGCAGAAGGUGCUGGGGAGCUCCCAGGAGGCUGCACUGCAUGGCCUUGGGGAGACGGAUGGCCUCUGAUAUCACCAGUCCUUUCUAGACAGACGACUGUCCUCCUCCUGUGAAUCUGGAUUGAAGGCAGAGUGAGGAGACUUGACAGACAGGACGCUUGUCCUUGCCCAAGGCUUUGGGCUUCGAAGUCUUGGUUGGACAUUGCUUGUCAUGUGGGUUGGCCUCUGGAAUGAUGACGUGGGUGGAGGUCCUCAUCCCACCUCUACCUGGCUAGGUGACCUUUGGUGAACUGGUUGCUUUUUUUAGGCUGCUCUCCUCUCCUCCAUUUGCCCAGGUGCCUUCUCGUUCUGGUGAAGGUGGUUUCUGGCUGGAUGAGGGCCUGCCUGGGUUUUGGCUUCCAGUCCGGGGCCUCCCAAACCCCCCUUCCGCUCCGCAGUGGUCACUCUGGCUCUGCCUCAGGUAGAUGGAGGAGGAAGGAAUGAAGUUAAUGAGGAAACAAGAGCUCUGAGUCCUGAUGGAAGCCGGCCUGGGGGCGAAGGCUGUUCACAGAGAUGGUCGCCUGACUGGUUGGUGGGGGGCUUGCUGCCCGACUUUCCUUUGAUCUGCCCCCGGCCUCGGCCCCGGCCCAUGCAUUUAGGACUGAGAGGCUCCCUCACUGGACUCCAGCCCAACAAGUUAACAAUUUCAACCUCAGUUAGAGCCCCUGCCUAGUGGAGGGUGGUCCUCCUCUCACACCAGAAGCACAGCCCACACUCAGCCUGAACUGCUGGGCUCCUGAGAACUUGUGGCCAGGAGGAGUGCCUAUGUGGGCUCGGCAGCCACGUGUAGAUGAUUUUUGAUUAUCUGUUGUUUCAUACUAUCUGUGCUUUUGACUUUACCACACCCCUUCCCCCUCUGCCUCCCCCCCGACACACUGCCUGGAAAUUAAUUGCACUUUGAAUACUUGCUUACUUUCCCAGAGUCUCGUGACCAUUUCUACAGCCAAAGUCAGCAUUUAUUAAAACAUCUGGGAGUUCCCGUCGUGGCUUAGUGGAAACGAAUCUGACUAGCAUCCAUGAGGAUGCAGGUUCGAUCCCUGGCCUCACUCAGUGGGUUAAGGAUCUGGCAUUGCCGUGAGCUGUGGUAUAGGUCGCAGACGAGGCUCGGAUCUGGUGUAGACUGGUAGCUAUAACUCCAGUUCGGCCCCUAGCCUGGGAACUUCCAUAUGCCACACCUGUAGC